GCAGUGGUGGUUCAGUGGCAGAAUUUUCGCCUUCCAUGCAGGAGACCUGGGUUCGAUUCCCAGCCGAUACA
This 71-nucleotide transfer RNA is filed under the name Loxodonta africana (African savanna elephant). It matches the Rfam family "tRNA". From Rfam's summary of the family: Transfer RNA (tRNA) molecules are approximately 80 nucleotides in length. Their secondary structure includes four short double-helical elements and three loops (D, anti-codon, and T loops). Further hydrogen bonds mediate the characteristic L-shaped molecular structure. tRNAs have two regions of fundamental functional importance: the anti-codon, which is responsible for specific mRNA codon recognition, and the 3' end, to which the tRNAs corresponding amino acid is attached (by aminoacyl-tRNA synthetases). tRNAs cope with the degeneracy of the genetic code in two manners: having more than one tRNA (with a specific anti-codon) for a particular amino acid; and 'wobble' base-pairing, i.e. permitting non-standard base-pairing at the 3rd anti-codon position. Lineage: Eukaryota; Metazoa; Chordata; Mammalia; Proboscidea; Elephantidae. The record is from Rfam by way of RNAcentral.